This 90-nucleotide ribosomal RNA is filed under the name Lysinibacillus fusiformis. RNAcentral describes it as "partial 16S ribosomal RNA". It matches the Rfam family "Bacterial small subunit ribosomal RNA", at positions 1 to 86 of the family's 1533-position model. The record is from RNAcentral. Lineage: Bacteria; Bacillati; Bacillota; Bacilli; Caryophanales; Bacillaceae.
UUUCUUUUAUGGAGAGUUUGAUCCUGGCUCAGGACGAACGCUGGCGGCGUGCCUAAUACAUGCAAGUCGAGCGAACAGAGAAGGAGCUUG